This is a long non-coding RNA of Aedes albopictus (Asian tiger mosquito), 1082 nucleotides long. RefSeq lists it as uncharacterized. The record is from RefSeq and is a predicted model, not a curated record. NCBI's taxonomy places the organism in Eukaryota, Metazoa, Arthropoda, Insecta, Diptera, Culicidae. The transcript has 3 exons.
UCAGCUGAUCAUGCUUUGCGCUCGAUUUUACUACAAGCAUGGUAAUUUCGUUUAGAACUUGAUGUAUACGAGGCGGCGCCAUGUUGAUUCAGAUGCGAAUUCUUUCGGUCGCGGAUUUGUUGUUUAGUUUCAUUCUUAAAGAGUUUAUUGAUAAAAAAGACCAGGAAACUUCACAAAAUACGAAUUGAAUUGUUGCAGUUUAAAAAUCGACCUGCUAGAGCAGACCGCUAGAUCAGCAGAUGCCGGGAGAGUUUCGGGAAGUGGAAAAGUUCUCACAACAACCCAAAACAGCGACAAUCAGGAUCAAUUAGAGUCAGCUGUGUAGGAUUCUCGAUCGCUCCGGUAAAUUCUAUCCACCGAAACUUAUGGCAUCGAUCGAGACGCUAGAAUGUCUGCUGAACAUUUACAAGAUGCUGGUGAUAGGUGCUGGUGGCCUGUGAACUGUUGAAAUAUCUGGCCCCAAUUAGUCAAUGUUUUUCGAUGCUGAAGUACUAAGAGGACGGAUCGGUCGAUAAAACUUUCAUGAUACCGCAGAUGGAUGGCAGAACCGAAGGAUUCAUGGCAGAACCGGACUGCGGAAAUGACGACACUCGAUAGACGCUGGAUUUGUUUUCUCCGCAGGUUUGUUUUUGUGGGACAUUUGAUUCUUGCAAUUAAUUAUCCUCUUAUAUUUCAAAUUUACAGAUAACUAAGACUGUUCUUCCACUUUUCCAAAACACUUCGUCACCGGAAUAUUGCAUCAAGCAUUCAUCUAUGCCAGUCGUCCUGUGGCCUAAUGAAAAUGCCUUUGGAAGGGACAUCGGACUGUAAAAUUAGAGUCUAUGACAUGCAGAACCUGUUCAGACUACAACGUGUCAAUCGAAAUCAAUCAAAUACGGUUCUCUAGCGGCAGAAAAACUAUGAAUAAAUUAUGGUGGAUUACAAGUUUAAGUUUUAAAAAAUUCAGAUGCUCUACUUGUUAAAAUAGCAGACAAAGUGUACUAAAUAAGUAUAUCAAUUAAUGUUUUCAAAUGACACAACAUAGAAAUAUGCUUGUUUAAUAUACUUGUUUUAUUUUAUCAAGUGGAGCAUUUACUCUAUGU